ACACUUCCAUGUUUUUUAAACAAGGCUUUGACUUCCACGUCUCAAUGCAAUGUGUAAUUCAAGGGACGUUUAAAGAUUGGACCCGUCUUUCGAGUCACGUUUACAAAUAUUAGAAUGAGUAAUUUACUGUAUUACAAGACCAUUGUUGUACUAUCUGUUUUAUGCAAAGCAAAUUCGGAAAUGUGAAAAGGAACCAGAAAAUGGGGACACUAUGUAAUUGUGUAAUACAUGCGAUUUGACCAGGGGAUGCCAAACUUUUGCAUACAACUGUAGGAGUAUCUGUGCAACAUUUGACCACAGAAGGCAGAACAGAGGUACAGCAACAUAGAUCGCCGCAAUGACGUCACUAGUGGAACAAGACACAGGUGUGCUCCUACCUGCAGGCCAUAUACAUUGAACCCAGAGAAGACAGAGAGUAGAAGGUACAGGUCUUACUGAAGGCAAGCUGCACACAAACUACAUCUGACUGUAUUCGCAGUGCUGACGAUCACAGGCCUUUCCCCUGAGUCCCUGAGCUAGGAGUAUUAUGAGGACACCUGGACAGUCAACAGUCUGCAGCUUCACCUGUAUAAGAGGUCACUCUUAACAGCAGUUUCUUACAUCAUUAACAGGGAGUCAUGAUACAGGGUUUUCUCUUUCAGGGAAGUCAAAAAAAUCACAUUCUUAGUUUUUUUUUUAACAAAUGUUGAUAUGAAAAUGAUUGAAUUGUUAGGAAAACAACCAUUUCAUGUACAUUAAACAUUACUUAAAUUUGUUGCUGACCGAUAAUGUUUGAAGAGCUCCUGAGUGCUUCUUCCUUUUAUUUAAAUAAUACAUUGCCUCAAAUCUUGCAUCUGUCUUUAAAAUGCCUAUGUAAAUGUGGAACAGUGUUCAGAGCUAUAUUGUUGCACAGUGGAUUGUGAGUUUGUGUUACAGCACUGUCAUGCUCUUUCAGAGGACAGUCCAAUUGGUUCCUACACUGUUGUGAUCAUUUUUCCUCAGGAGGUGCUCAGCCCCAGGAAAGAACAUUAAGACCCUGACUUGUUCGCAUUUUCCUCUCUAAUUUUUGAAGCAUUAAACAUUUCUACACAAAGCACUUUACAAGUAACAUUGCAGGCUCUUGUACUUUCCCAGUCUUCAGUUUCCCCAGGAGUGAAGUUAAGAGCAGGACUACACUCUGAACUGGAUAUGGCAGGCGUAGAACUCAAAGCCAGAGCUGUUCUUCCACAUCAUCAUUUACCAAUAGGGGCUGUAGAAUUAAGAGUAUACUUAAUUCUAUUUCUUCAUCAUUUUGAUGGUAAGCAGCCUCCCUUUCUGUACCUACAAGUAACAGCUGUAUUUUACAGCCGACUUGCAGGAAAGAAACUCGGGCGGUAACUGCUACAUUCAUGACUGACAGGUACCCCUACACAACUUGCAGGGGAAAGGGAAACGUCUGUAGGCUCCUUAAAGGAAUGAGCAGAUCAGACGCGACGUGACCGCUCUGACGGUACCCGACACAACCCCGAUAUUCACACAGCCUUUAAGAAACAAUCCAAGGACACAGCCUUUAAGAAACAAUCCAAGUUUAUUGCAGAAAUUGAAGAAGUAGAAAGAGCAUAUGAAUAACUCGGCUGGCUGUUUUAUCCAGUAUUGAACAUCGCUCAGGCGGUCUGCAGUCUGGAGCCCCGGCAGAAGAAGCGCUGCUCUUUCAGCACACAGCCGGAGAGACGGUGGGUAACCUCGGACCGCAAGGUGCAAAACCACUAUAUAAAGCUAAGGACGCCAUGCAGCUACCAGAACGUUUUUAAAGGAGACCAAUUGACGGCUGAUACGAGAUGAAUCACACCUGGCUUCUGGCUUUUAAUUAAUUAGAAACGUCUAAAACCCGGACUGGAUUCUGGAGUUGGCCGUCUCCGCUUUGGAAAUGGUCCUUCCCACGCAAAUAAUUUGGAGUACAAUCCCACUCCACAUUUUCAACUGACCCGCUGAUAAAGUAACUUUAUUCAACUUUAAUUGAACAUUUAAGAUUUGUUUUCAACUCAAUUCAAAAUACUUUAUUCUUCCCCAGGGAUUCAGCUGGUGAAUAGUAAAAGGUUAGAAAUUAGCGUGAUCCUUGCGUUAGAAACAGUUUUAGAAUUCACGUCUUUUAACAGUAAGAAUUCAACUGCUACUGUCUGACAGUCAAUCUCACCUGUGAUUACUGUACUGUACAUCACUCAUUGACAGUGGUUCCUCAUCACUGUAAACUGUGUAUAUCCCUGUUUAUACCUGUGUAUAGAAUUUUGAUGACUUUUUUAAUUAAUCAAAAUAGUGCCAGCCGUCUGAUAUUCAUAGAAAACAUUUUCUAACCACCUGCACUCUUUUAGCUUGAAUACAGUAACUCUCUUAUCUUAUAGGAUGUUGAAUAUUAUCUUAUUAUAUAUAAUAAGAGUGAUGUGAUUAUCCACUGAUCGCAAAACUAGUUAUUACAUCCUUAUCACUAUUCUGUUUUCUAUGCAUACACUCGUUCCCAUUCUAUUUACGUGCAUAGUUUCUUAUUUUUUCAUCUUUCACCUUAGGAACUAAACUUAGAUAUGGAACCUUGUCAAACGCCCAUGGAAAUAUAAACAGAUCAUGUCGUGACAACUAUUAGUAUAAAGGAACUGAAGGGAUACUCUACCCGAACACCAGCCGGGGCAUAAAAACAUUGAGAACAAUUAAAUCGUUCAUAUAGUUUU
Non-coding RNA from Lepisosteus oculatus (spotted gar), 2678 nucleotides. The record is from RefSeq and is a predicted model, not a curated record. Lineage: Eukaryota; Metazoa; Chordata; Actinopteri; Semionotiformes; Lepisosteidae.